RNAcentral lists this ribosomal RNA (316 nucleotides) under uncultured bacterium. Its description in RNAcentral is "bacterial SSU rRNA". It matches the Rfam family "Bacterial small subunit ribosomal RNA", at positions 29 to 351 of the family's 1533-position model. The record is from RNAcentral.
AAUGAACGCUGGCGGCGUGCCUAACACAUGCAAGUCGAGCGGGGAUAGUCCUUCGGGAUGUGUACCAGCGGCGGACGGGUGAGUAACGCGUGAGAACAUACCUUUUAGUGAGGAAUACCUCAGGGAAGCCUGAGUUAAUACUGCAUAAUCCCUUAUAGGGGAAAGGUGGCUUUAUGCUGCCGCUAAAAGAUUGGCUUGCGUACUAUUAGCUAGUUGGUGAGGUAAUGGCUCACCAAGGCUUUGAUGGUUAACCGGCCUGAGAGGGUGUACGGUCACAUUGGAACUGAGAUACGGUCCAGACUCCUACGGGAGGCUG